GAUGAACGCUGGCGGCGUGCCUAAUACAUGCAAGUCGAGCGAACAGACGAGGAGCUUGCUCCUCUGACGUUAGCGGCGGACGGGUGAGUAACACGUGGAUAACCUACCUAUAAGACUGGGAUAACUUCGGGAAACCGGAGCUAAUACCGGAUAAUAUAUUGAACCGCAUGGUUCAAUAGUGAAAGACGGUUUUGCUGUCACUUAUAGAUGGAUCCGCGCCGCAUUAGCUAGUUGGUAAGGUAACGGCUUACCAAGGCGACGAUGCGUAGCCGACCUGAGAGGGUGAUCGGCCACACUGGAACUGAGACACGGUCCAUACUCCUACGGGAGGCAGCAGUAGGGAAUCUUCCGUAAUGGGCGAAAGCCUGACGGAGCAACGCCGCGUGAGUGAUGAAGGUCUUCGGAUCGUAAAACUCUGUUAUUAGGGAAGAACAAAUGUGUAAGUAACUAUGCACGUCUUGACGGUACCUAAUCAGAAAGCCACGGCUAACUACGUG
RNAcentral lists this ribosomal RNA (497 nucleotides) under uncultured bacterium. RNAcentral describes it as "partial 16S ribosomal RNA". It matches the Rfam family "Bacterial small subunit ribosomal RNA", at positions 28 to 507 of the family's 1533-position model. The record is from RNAcentral.